This 467-nucleotide ribosomal RNA is filed under the name uncultured bacterium. Its description in RNAcentral is "partial 16S ribosomal RNA". It matches the Rfam family "Bacterial small subunit ribosomal RNA", at positions 28 to 506 of the family's 1533-position model. The record is from RNAcentral.
GACGAACGCUGGCGGCGUGCUUAACACAUGCAAGUCGAACGGAAAGGCCCUGCUUUUGUGGGGUGCUCGAGUGGCGAACGGGUGAGUAACACGUGAGUAACCUGCCCUUGACUUUGGGAUAACUUCAGGAAACUGGGGCUAAUACCGGAUAGGAGCUCCUGCUGCAUGGUGGGGGUUGGAAAGUUUCGGCGGUUGGGGAUGGACUCGCGGCUUAUCAGCUUGUUGGUGGGGUAGUGGCUUACCAAGGCUUUGACGGGUAGCCGGCCUGAGAGGGUGACCGGCCACAUUGGGACUGAGAUACGGCCCAGACUCCUACGGGAGGCAGCAGUGGGGAAUAUUGCACAAUGGGCGGAAGCCUGAUGCAGCAACGCCGCGUGCGGGAUGACGGCCUUCGGGUUGUAAACCGCUUUCACCUGUGACGAAGCGUGAGUGACGGUAAUGGGUAAAGAAGCACCGGCGAACUACGU